RNAcentral lists this ribosomal RNA (526 nucleotides) under uncultured bacterium. RNAcentral describes it as "bacterial SSU rRNA". It matches the Rfam family "Bacterial small subunit ribosomal RNA", at positions 983 to 1509 of the family's 1533-position model. The record is from RNAcentral.
GACAUCCAGAGAACUUAGCAGAGAUGCUUUGGUGCCUUCGGGAACUCUGAGACAGGUGCUGCAUGGCUGUCGUCAGCUCGUGUUGUGAAAUGUUGGGUUAAGUCCCGNAACGAGCGCAACCCUUAUCCUUUGUUGCCAGCGGUUCGGCCGGGAACUCAAAGGAGACUGCCGGUGAUAAACCGGAGGAAGGUGGGGAUGACGUCAAGUCAUCAUGGCCCUUACGGCCAGGGCUACACACGUGCUACAAUGGCGCAUACAAAGAGAAGCGACCUCGCGAGAGCAAGCGGACCUCAUAAAGUGCGUCGUAGUCCGGAUUGGAGUCUGCAACUCGACUCCAUGAAGUCGGAAUCGCUAGUAAUCGUAGAUCAGAAUGCUACGGUGAAUACGUUCCCGGGCCUUGUACACACCGCCCGCCACACCAUGGGAGUGGGUUGCAAAAGAAGUAGGUAGCUUAACCUUCGGGAGGGCGCUUACCACUUUGUGAUUCAUGACUGGGGUGAAGUCGUAACAAGGUAGGCGUAGCGAG